GAUGAACGCUGGCGGCGUGCCUAAUACAUGCAAGUCGAGCGAACGGACGAGAAGCUUGCGUCUCUGAGGUUAGCGGCGGACGGGUGAGUAACACGGGGAUAACCUACCUAUAAGACUGGGAUAACUUCGGGAAACCGGAGCUAAUACCGGAAAAUAUUUUGAACCGCAAGGUGCAAAAGUUAAAGACGGUCUUGCUGUCACUUAUAGAUUGAUCCGCGCUGCAUUAGCUAGUUGGUAAGGUAACGGCUUACCAAGGCAACGAUGCAUAGCCGACCUGAGAGCGUCGUCGGCCACCCUGUCUCUGAGACACGGUCGAGACUCCUGCGCGGGGCAGCAGUCGGGACUCUUCCGCGAUGCGCGAGAGCGUGACGGUGCAACGCCGCGUGAGUGCUGAUCGUCUUCGGCUCGUAAAGCUCUGUUAUUCGUAAAGAACAUAUGUGUAAGUACCUGUGCUCAUCUUGACGGUACCUAGUCAGAAAGCCACGGCUAACUCCGUG
RNAcentral lists this ribosomal RNA (497 nucleotides) under uncultured bacterium. RNAcentral describes it as "partial 16S ribosomal RNA". It matches the Rfam family "Bacterial small subunit ribosomal RNA", at positions 28 to 507 of the family's 1533-position model. The record is from RNAcentral.